RNAcentral lists this ribosomal RNA (253 nucleotides) under uncultured bacterium. Its description in RNAcentral is "partial 16S ribosomal RNA". It matches the Rfam family "Bacterial small subunit ribosomal RNA", at positions 524 to 776 of the family's 1533-position model. The record is from RNAcentral.
UACGUAGGGUGCGAGCGUUGUCCGGAAUUAUUGGGCGUAAAGAGCUCGUAGGCGGUCUGUUGCGUCCGCUGUGAAAACUCGGGGCUUAACCCCGAGCCUGCAGUGGAUACGGGCAGACUAGAGGUAGGUAGGGGAGAAUGGAAUUCCCGGUGUAGCGGUGAAAUGCGCAGAUAUCGGGAGGAACACCGGUGGCGAAGGCGGCAUCCUGGACCGGCAUUGACGCUGAGGCGCGAAAGCCAGGGGAGCAAACAGG